AGGCUAAUACNUGAACGUAGAACCCGGUUGACUAGGCUUCACGGCCCGGGAUGCUGGGGGAUGUGCGAUUGGCAGGCNUGGGUAACACCGGGAAAGGGCGCGCGUCCAGACCGCGCUAUAAAGGAUGGGCUCCUCACGGGGCCUGCCCCAGCGGCUCUUGCUGUGUGCUUCUGACCUAUCAACUAGACGGCAGCGUAAGGGACAUGCUAUGGUGACAACG
This 220-nucleotide ribosomal RNA is filed under the name Lamproderma piriforme. RNAcentral describes it as "partial small subunit ribosomal RNA". Lineage: Eukaryota; Evosea; Eumycetozoa; Stemonitida; Stemonitidae. The record is from RNAcentral.